This 974-nucleotide ribosomal RNA is filed under the name Yersinia ruckeri. RNAcentral's name for it is "bacterial LSU rRNA". It matches the Rfam family "Bacterial large subunit ribosomal RNA", at positions 1938 to 2906 of the family's 2925-position model. Lineage: Bacteria; Pseudomonadati; Pseudomonadota; Gammaproteobacteria; Enterobacterales; Yersiniaceae. The record is from RNAcentral.
AACUAUAACGGUCCUAAGGUAGCGAAAUUCCUUGUCGGGUAAGUUCCGACCUGCACGAAUGGCGUAAUGAUGGCCAGGCUGUCUCCACCCGAGACUCAGUGAAAUUGAACUCGCUGUGAAGAUGCAGUGUACCCGCGGCAAGACGGAAAGACCCCGUGAACCUUUACUAUAGCUUGACACUGAAUAUUGAGCCUUGAUGUGUAGGAUAGGUGGGAGGCAUCGAAGCGUGGACGCCAGUCUGCGUGGAGCCAACCUUGAAAUACCACCCUUUAAUGUUUGAUGUUCUAACUCGGCCCCAUAAUCUGGGGUGAGGACAGUGUCUGGUGGGUAGUUUGACUGGGGCGGUCUCCUCCCAAAGAGUAACGGAGGAGCACGAAGGUUAGCUAAUCACGGUCGGACAUCGUGAGGUUAGUGCAAAGGCAUAAGCUAGCUUGACUGCGAGAGUGACGGCUCGAGCAGGUACGAAAGUAGGUCUUAGUGAUCCGGUGGUUCUGAAUGGAAGGGCCAUCGCUCAACGGAUAAAAGGUACUCCGGGGAUAACAGGCUGAUACCGCCCAAGAGUUCAUAUCGACGGCGGUGUUUGGCACCUCGAUGUCGGCUCAUCACAUCCUGGGGCUGAAGUAGGUCCCAAGGGUAUGGCUGUUCGCCAUUUAAAGUGGUACGCGAGCUGGGUUUAGAACGUCGUGAGACAGUUCGGUCCCUAUCUGCCGUGGGCGUUGGAAGAUUGAGAGGGGCUGCUCCUAGUACGAGAGGACCGGAGUGGACGCAUCACUGGUGUUCGGGUUGUCAUGCCAAUGGCAUUGCCCGGUAGCUAAAUGCGGAAAAGAUAAGCGCUGAAAGCAUCUAAGCGCGAAACUUGCCUCGAGAUGAGUCUUCCCUGGGGCUUUAAGCCCCCUGAAGGAACGUUAAAGACUAUGACGUUGAUAGGCUGGGUGUGUAAGUGCAGCGAUGCAUUGAGCUAACCAGUACUAAUG